GGACCCAGACCGCUAUCGGGGUAGGGCUAAGCCAUGGGAGUCAGAACGCCCCGCCGCUGCGGGGCGUGGCGAACAGGCUGAGUAACACAGUGGCUAACCUACCCUCGGGACGGGGAUAACCCCGGGAAACUGGGGCUAAUCCCCGAUAGGCGGGGAGGCCUGGAAGGGUUCCCCGCCGAGAGGGGCCACCGGGGGUUAUCGCCGGUGGUCCGCCCGAGGAUGGGGCUGCGGCCCAUCAUGGUAGUUGGCGGGGUAACGGCCCGCCAAGCCGUCGACGGGUAGGGGCCGUGAGAGCGGGAGCCCCCAGAUGGGCACUGAGACAAGGGCCCAGUGCCCUACGUGGGCGCACCAGGCGCGAAAACUCCGCAAUGCGGGCAACCGUGACUGUGGGCUACCCCAGA
This 401-nucleotide ribosomal RNA is filed under the name uncultured archaeon. RNAcentral describes it as "bacterial SSU rRNA". It matches the Rfam family "Archaeal small subunit ribosomal RNA", at positions 26 to 385 of the family's 1478-position model. The record is from RNAcentral.